RNAcentral lists this microRNA precursor (99 nucleotides) under Marmota monax (woodchuck). The record is from RNAcentral. Lineage: Eukaryota; Metazoa; Chordata; Mammalia; Rodentia; Sciuridae.
AAGCCAAUCUCCUGCAGUGCCUUGGUAAAAUGCAGAUUCAGCUUCAGCAGAUGGGGCCCAAGAUUCUGCAUUUCUAACAGGCUCUGGUGUGAUUCAGAU